AUUUCAACCGAUGGCAUGACCUAAAUAUGUUCCAAUAUCAUGUACCCAUGUAAUAAAAAAGAAUAUACCCACAAAACUCAAAUACAACUGAUGAAAUAUAGUCAAUGGACCAUAUCCUUUGAGUUAGUAAGAACAGUGUGGAAAGUAAAAGUUUUAAGUAAAGGACACAAGAGUUGCGCUGAAACCCCCUUGCUCAAGGGAGGAGAAAACUACGACAUGUCUCACUAGAUUUCAACACAACUCCAUUAACUUCAAAUAGCAGAACUUCAGA
Molecule: unclassified non-coding RNA, 271 nt
Filed under: Hevea brasiliensis (rubber tree)
Lineage: Eukaryota; Viridiplantae; Streptophyta; Magnoliopsida; Malpighiales; Euphorbiaceae
Source: RNAcentral